GCCCGAUUGUACAUUGGCGGCUUAAGCUAUGGCUUAGUUGAACCGGGUUCAAUUUUGAGCGUCGGUUUAACUUCAUUCGGGUUGUUCAAUGCCGAGUUCAGUUAAGCCGAGGUUCAUACAAAUUUUGGUAAGGUUGGCAACGUAAGGCAUGCGUAUUCAAAGCAAUUCCCGUCAAUUCUCGACAUAAAUUUUCCCGCCAUUUAUGUAUUAUUAUUUGGUUUUUGUCAAUAUAAUUCUUUUAUUACUGUUAUUAGUUUAAUCGGUAUUUUCUAUCGUUUAGUUUAUCAGUUUAAUCAAUUUCCUACGUUAAAUUUGUGAACAGACCAUUUGAAUAGCUUGUGAUGAAGGAUUGCGUAAGGGUGUUAUCAGGUUUUCUUGACUCCGUAACCACUAUCACCAAAGAAGAUACUAAUUCAAUCUUCACAUUCUCUUCUCAUAAAUAUUUAACUGUUUACAGCUAUGAUUUCAAAUUCACUCAAAAAUGUUAAUAUUUGCCUUAUUCUAGGGAAGUAGGUAGGUAAUUUAAAUAAUUUUAGAAGGUAAAUUAGUUUGUAAUUAUUAUUAAAUAAAGUGAUAAUAUGUACCUACAUAAGCAUGGUACAAAUAUAAUUAAUUUAAGAUUUAUUAAUAAAUUAUGUACAUCUAAUUUAAUAAAUUAACAAAAUCGU
This is a long non-coding RNA of Diabrotica virgifera virgifera (western corn rootworm), 668 nucleotides long. RefSeq lists it as uncharacterized. The transcript is spliced from 2 exons. The record is from RefSeq and is a predicted model, not a curated record. Lineage: Eukaryota; Metazoa; Arthropoda; Insecta; Coleoptera; Chrysomelidae.